GGCGGAAGUUGCAGGUUGGAGUAAAGGGGUGAGAUUGGGAGAGGCGGAGGUUGGUCGUGACUUUAAUUUGUGAUGGCGGAGGAAGGUCAUGGCUGCAAUUCGUGAUGGCGGAGGAAGAUCAUGGCUGCAUUUGUUGCCUCUUGGUUGCAGGAAGUUAGAGAAAGAAAGAAGCAGAGUGGAUGGGAAUCGCAGAGAUUUUAGAGAGAGAGAGGGAGUAGCAAGCUAGAACUGGCCGGGAACCGCUAGAACCGGGCGGGAACCGGCGGUUCUGCUCUAGAACCGAGCGGUUCCUGAUUUUGUACAAGAACCGACACGGUCUGUGCCGAUUCCCGAGUCGAACCGGAUGGUUCGACCCGUCGCUUUUUUUAAACACUGGGUACGACACUGACUGUAUAUCGCGACCCUACCAACACGACCCUAGCUCCUUACCUCAAGUUUGGUUUGGGUGAGUCAGUGCUACUAACUUAUUAAGAACUCAAAAUCCAUGUUUUGCAUUGUGAAUAUUUUCGAUGAUUAUCAUAUGAACUCCAAAAUUUCAUAGACAAGUAGGUUUUUAUCCAAUGGAGUAAAUGCACAAUGUACUCCCACAAGAGUUGCUAGGCACUCUCUCUUUCACAUUAAGUUAUUAGGCACUCUCUCUUUCACAUUAAGUUAUGCAAGUCUCCAAAGUACUUAGCACCGGGUUUUUCGAUUCUACGAUCCAACUAACAAGGGUCCGUUUAGAUACCUGGAAAUAUAUUAUUGGUGUAAUACAUUAUUUGUAAAUGGAUUGUCACUGUUUGGGUGGUAUUUAGAUGCAAC
Molecule: long non-coding RNA, 801 nt
Filed under: Amborella trichopoda
Lineage: Eukaryota; Viridiplantae; Streptophyta; Magnoliopsida; Amborellales; Amborellaceae
Description: long non-coding RNA (ATRI_LNC003472)
Source: RNAcentral